This is a long non-coding RNA of Aedes aegypti (yellow fever mosquito), 407 nucleotides long. RefSeq lists it as uncharacterized. The transcript has 2 exons. The record is from RefSeq and is a predicted model, not a curated record. Lineage: Eukaryota; Metazoa; Arthropoda; Insecta; Diptera; Culicidae.
CGUAUGAAAAUAAGUUGAUAUUUGAAUUAUGGCAACACGAAUGAAUAAUGUGCUUAUUAUAAAGGAUAAUUAUUUCCACCAUGUCCUAAAUCAAAAAUCAUUCAAUUAUCUUCUGAAUGUCAUAUUUAAGACUAAUGAUGCUAGACAUAAAAUCAUCCUUGUCAAUUGUAGUAAAAUAAUGCCGGUUGCAACAGUUCCCGCGUGCAGAGUUCGGAGUUUUUCGAGUUAAUUUAACAGGAGCACCAAACAUCAUUUGUAGCUGAAGAUGAAGGAUUGUUUGCAGGAUCAAGGACUCGUUAUUCAAAUGGGCACCUCACGCCAAGUCACGAUGGUCGUCGAUUUAAGAUUGAUAAUUAUUAUACUAUUAAUGCAGCUAAACAGUUCGUGGAAAUAAAUAUUUAUGUGCG